RNAcentral lists this ribosomal RNA (1023 nucleotides) under Mesobacillus jeotgali. RNAcentral's name for it is "bacterial SSU rRNA". It matches the Rfam family "Bacterial small subunit ribosomal RNA", at positions 57 to 1061 of the family's 1533-position model. Lineage: Bacteria; Bacillati; Bacillota; Bacilli; Caryophanales; Bacillaceae. The record is from RNAcentral.
GCAGUCGAGCGGAUCUUCAUUAGCUUGCUUUUGAAGAUCAGCGGCGGACGGGUGAGUAACACGUGGGCAACCUGCCUGUAAGACUGGGAUAACUUCGGGAAACCGGAGCUAAUACCGGAUAAUCCUUUCCCUCUCAUGAGGGAAAGCUGAAAGACGGUUUCGGCUGUCACUUACAGAUGGGCCCGCGGCGCAUUAGCUAGUUGGUGAGGUAACGGCUCACCAAGGCAACGAUGCGUAGCCGACCUGAGAGGGUGAUCGGCCACACUGGGACUGAGACACGGCCCAGACUCCUACGGGAGGCAGCAGUAGGGAAUCUUCCGCAAUGGACGAAAGUCUGACGGAGCAACGCCGCGUGAACGAUGAAGGCCUUCGGGUCGUAAAGUUCUGUUGUCAGGGAAGAACAAGUAUCGGAGUAACUGCCGGUACCUUGACGGUACCUGACCAGAAAGCCACGGCUAACUACGUGCCAGCAGCCGCGGUAAUACGUAGGUGGCAAGCGUUGUCCGGAAUUAUUGGGCGUAAAGCGCGCGCAGGCGGUUCCUUAAGUCUGAUGUGAAAGCCCCCGGCUCAACCGGGGAGGGUCAUUGGAAACUGGGGAACUUGAGUGCAGAAGAGGAGAGCGGAAUUCCACGUGUAGCGGUGAAAUGCGUAGAGAUGUGGAGGAACACCAGUGGCGAAGGCGGCUCUCUGGUCUGUAACUGACGCUGAGGCGCGAAAGCGUGGGGAGCGAACAGGAUUAGAUACCCUGGUAGUCCACGCCGUAAACGAUGAGUGCUAAGUGUUAGAGGGUUUCCGCCCUUUAGUGCUGCAGCAAACGCAUUAAGCACUCCGCCUGGGGAGUACGGCCGCAAGGCUGAAACUCAAAGGAAUUGACGGGGGCCCGCACAAGCGGUGGAGCAUGUGGUUUAAUUCGAAGCAACGCGAAGAACCUUACCAGGUCUUGACAUCCUCUGACAACCCUAGAGAUAGGGCGUUCCCCUUCGGGGGACAGAGUGACAGGUGAUGCAUGGUUGUCGUCAGCUC